This 273-nucleotide small RNA is filed under the name uncultured Pseudohongiella sp. RNAcentral's name for it is "5' ureB small RNA". It matches the Rfam family "5' ureB small RNA". Lineage: Bacteria; Pseudomonadati; Pseudomonadota; Gammaproteobacteria; Pseudomonadales; Pseudohongiellaceae. The record is from RNAcentral.
CUGCUGCGGACAGAUAAAAUGGAUGUGUGAAUCGAUGCCGCCGGCAGUCAGGAUUUGCCCUUCACCGGCAAUGAUCUCGGUGCCUGGUCCGAUGACAAUGGUGACGCCGUCCUGCACGUCGGGGUUGCCGGCCUUGCCGAUGGCCAUGAUACGGCCAUGCUUGAUACCGACAUCGGCUUUGACCACACCCCAGUGAUCCAGGAUCAGGGCGUUGGUGAUGACCACAUCCAUGCUCUGCGCAUCGCCGCGCUGGCUUUGACCCAUGCCGUCCCG